CAACCACAAGAUGGCGUGAUUGGGCCAUGGCAAAGUAGUUUGUCCGGCCCAGGAAAGUCCCCGGGCCCUUAUCUGCAGAGAUGCAGGCCUGGAAACAGGUACGGCUUGGUGAAGAAAUCUAAACUCUUGGGUUUGGGCUGAGACAAGUGUGGAGCCUUCGGAUUUCUCUCAAGUCAAGUUGGCCGAUAACACAGUCAUUCACGUGGUCCAAUAAUGGAUUAACUGAACGGGGCUUACACUCUUGUGGUU
RNAcentral lists this RNase MRP RNA (249 nucleotides) under Daucus carota subsp. sativus. RNAcentral's name for it is "SRP RNA RNase_MRP". It matches the Rfam family "RNase MRP". From Rfam's summary of the family: RNase MRP is an enzymatically active ribonucleoprotein with two distinct roles in eukaryotes. In mitochondria it plays a direct role in the initiation of mitochondrial DNA replication. The record is from Rfam by way of RNAcentral. Lineage: Eukaryota; Viridiplantae; Streptophyta; Magnoliopsida; Apiales; Apiaceae.